CCUACGGGAGGCUGCAGUGGGGAAUAUUGGACAAUGGGGGCAACCCUGAUCCAGCCAUGCCGCGUGUGUGAAGAAGGCCCUCGGGUUGUAAAGCACUUUCAGUGAGGAAGAACGCCUGGUGGUUAAUACCCAUCAGGAAAGACAUCACUCACAGAAGAAGCACCGGCUAACUCCGUGCCAGCAGCCGCGGUAAUACGGAGGGUGCGAGCGUCAAUCGGAAUUACUGGGCGUAAAGCGCGCGUAGGUGGCUUGAUAAGCCGGUUGUGAAAGCCCCGGGCUCAACCUGGGAACGGCAUCCGGAACUGUCAAGCUAGAGUGCAGGAGAGGAAGGUAGAAUUCCCGGUGUAGCGGUGAAAUGCGUAGAGAUCGGGAGGAAUACCAGUGGCGAAGGCGGCCUUCUGGACUGACACUGACACUGAGGUGCGAAAGCGUGGGUAGCAAACAGGAUUAGAUACCCUUGUAGUC
RNAcentral lists this ribosomal RNA (465 nucleotides) under Vreelandella stevensii. RNAcentral's name for it is "partial 16S ribosomal RNA". It matches the Rfam family "Bacterial small subunit ribosomal RNA", at positions 338 to 795 of the family's 1533-position model. The record is from RNAcentral. Lineage: Bacteria; Pseudomonadati; Pseudomonadota; Gammaproteobacteria; Oceanospirillales; Halomonadaceae.